GUCUACAGGAACUCGAGGAAACCAAAGCUUAAUGGCAUUUUAAGAAGUUAGGUCUCAAUAGGUUGAAGGUUGAAUACACAACAGAAGACAUUUUGAGCCGGAGAAUCAGGUACGUACCUACUUAGGUUUGUCUGUUAAGGCGACGAGGGACCUCAAGAUGCCAGAAGACAUUUUAAGCCGGAGAAUCAGAUACCUACUUAGGUUUGUCUGUUAAGGCGACGAGGGACCUCAAGAUGCUAGGACUUACUCUAUCGGCAAGGGCUCCUCUUUCCGAGAUUGAGAACGACUUUUCCUUCACAUAACUCUGUAGUUUCUUCGUGUCGUAGUCCAGUCGUUCUUGGUCUACGUCAUAAAAGAGUAUAUAACUAUAGUAGCAUCAUAAAAAAUGUUAUUCGGUAAGAUGAUGCUUUUAAAGUUCAAACGAAAGAGAGAGACAACCCACAAUCAAAAUGUUAAUUGACUCGAGUAAAUAAUAAAAGAAGAAAAC
RNAcentral lists this long non-coding RNA (487 nucleotides) under Ananas comosus (pineapple). Its description in RNAcentral is "long non-coding RNA (ACOM_LNC006342)". The record is from RNAcentral. Lineage: Eukaryota; Viridiplantae; Streptophyta; Magnoliopsida; Poales; Bromeliaceae.